Molecule: long non-coding RNA, 646 nt
Organism: Varanus komodoensis (Komodo dragon)
Lineage: Eukaryota; Metazoa; Chordata; Lepidosauria; Squamata; Varanidae
Exons: 5
Source: RefSeq, a predicted model, not a curated record
GUUUAGGAGUAUGAACGUCCCGUUGGAUGAAGGCUUCAAGUGCCAGUGUGGUGAUGAUCAAAUGAAGGUGCAGGAAGAAAAGAGCCCCAUAUGCCACCUUGAGCUCCUUGGAGAAAAGAUGAGGUAAAGGUCUGGCUUGACACAAAAACAAAGAGGCCAAGAAGAACCAUUGCUCUGUUCUCCCACCUGUGCCAUCAUCACUAUGUUCCUGCUGAGUUUAUCUGGAGGAGGAAGGCAGAGGUCCCUUACAUGUUUGAUGUUGUGCUGCUGCCAAAUCACCCCCAUGGUAACACCAACUAGCACACAGAGAGACAUCUCUGCCUGAUCCUGUAUGGCCCUGAUGCAUCCAGGCAAUCAUCUGAAGAAGGGAGCCUCCUUAUCAAUGGAUGUUCUCCAUGAAGUUAAUCAUGAAGGGUAUCUGUCCUGCUUGUACUGUUACCAUGCAUGCAUACAGGGCAACAGAUGUGGCAACAGAGAGAUGGAGCUGAGGCAUUCCCUCUCAUCACCUGCUGAUUAAAGAAGGGGAUUCUUCUGGCUUCCUGCAAUACUUUCAGUCUCUGAAGCACAGCAUGUACUAGACAGCAAGCUGUUCUGACAGUAUAUUGGAGAACCACCACUCAGCAGAAACUCAGCUUGAUCAUUUGCA